UUCUUACACGCCUUCUACCAUCUGUCUUGCAUGAUGUGGCUUCCGACGCUUAAUUGAAUAGUCCUCUUUACUGUAGACCAGCCUAAAACAUCUCUAGAACUCUUAAUGUUAUAGAUGUUAGUUUGAGGAGUUGUAAUACCAGUUAUACACGGUGAUCACGUGCACAACUUGAUGCCAUUGAUGGUACCUCUAUGAAACUAUUAGGGCUUGCUAACACACGGAGUAGACUACAUAUGCG
RNAcentral lists this ribosomal RNA (238 nucleotides) under Triticum aestivum (bread wheat). Its description in RNAcentral is "partial small subunit ribosomal RNA". Lineage: Eukaryota; Viridiplantae; Streptophyta; Magnoliopsida; Poales; Poaceae. The record is from RNAcentral.